GAGUUAGAUGUUUCCAUGCUAUUGUAUGUUUGUACAAUUCAGUGGGGUUUUUUCUCUUUACAGGAAACUGCUACGUGUACAAGCACAAUCUCACUGCGGGCGGGCCAAGUUCAAAACAUUCAAGUCCAGUGCCUUAACACAAACGUGACAACACCAGUUAUUACCCCAACCACACCGGUGACCACACCGAGCAUUUUAGUUACUACACCAACCACACUGGACACCACAGACAGCACUUUAGUCACCACACCGACCACAACUGUGACCACACCAACCACGACCACCACAACAACCAAAAAACCCAGAAAACGACCAUCAUGUUCAUCAUCAUCAUCCGAAAGCAAUGAACGAUCAAGGAGAUGCACGAGAAAGAACUAUGGCCGAAGGUUUUGCAGGAGAAGUUCUGGCCACCGGAGGAGGAGGGGAUUUUCGAGCAGGCAGAAGAAAAAUAAUAGGCAAAGGAGUCUAACCAGAGUUAUUCGUUUUGCUCCGACUGCAGCUCUCAAGACAGAAGAGAAUCAAGAGUAAAAUGCAGAUACGCCACUGACUUCUGACAGUAGGAGAUCUGACAAAGCAGCUCCAGAACAUGAAUUGCUCAAAAGCCUUCUACAGGGUGUACUACAAUUACUGCCGGGUCUGAUAUUCUCCUGCAACUGCUGGGAUUCUCAUGUUUAACGUGAGAGUUCUCUUCCUCUCCUCUGCAAUCUCUGUCUUUUCCCUGCAAUCCAACGAGUUGUAGCUGCCUGAAUGCUACUGGAGACUGAUAUACAAUAAAAUAUUAGGAAAUGUACCAACCUGGAUGGGGUCUCAUCAGAUACUGUGCUUUUCCGGAUGUAAACAAUCCUAUAGCUGUUUCAAACAACUUUUCAAAUGUUUUUUCUUGAUUUUUCAUGGGAUAUAAUUUGGUACGAGAGUUAAAGCAAUCAUGUCUUGGCACACUAAACAAUAGCUUCAACUCAAUUACUUAUUAAAAAAUUGUGAUCAUGUAAUCUAAAAGGUAGACAAAAAUGCUGGAGAAACUCAGCGGGUCAGGCAGCAUCUAUUGAGCAAAGAAAUAGGCGAUGUUUCGGGUCGAGACCCUUCUUCAGACUUCUUUAGUCUGAAGAAGGGUCUCGACCCAAAACGUCACCUAUUUCCUUCACUCCAUAGAUGCUGCCUCACCUACUGAGUUUCUCCAGCAUUUUUGUCUACCUUCAAUUUUUCCAGCAUCUGCAGUUCUUUCUUAAACAUGUAAUCUCCAGGUCAUUAUUAGAUGCAUAAAACAAGAUGACAAUCAGUUCACAUAUUUUGUAUCUAUUUCUUUAGCUGGGUAAGACUUUUAACAAUCUGUUGGCAAUAUCUUGUGAUCUGUACUUAAUAAAUUAUAAUAAAAUAUGAUUAUCACAACCUUUCAAUGUCUUACAAGUUUAUUCAGGGGUGGAAUUAACCAUUGAAGCUUCAACUGCCUCCUCUAACAGCUCUUUCCACACACCUACCAAACUGUGUGUAAAAUACUUGAACUAGUGGGAGGGAGGAACUGAAGAGAAUCCACAUUAGUCAGGAAAUGGUGUUAGGUAAACCAUUGGGACGGAAGGCAGAUAAAUCCCCAUGGCCUGAAGGUCUCCAUCCCAGAGAACUCAAGGAGGUGACCCUAGAAAUUGUGGAUGCAUUGGUAAACUUUUGUCAAUGUUCUAUAGACUAGAUCAGUUUCUGUGGACUGGAUAGGUAAUGUAACUCAAUAUUUUCAGAAAGAAGGGAGAGAGAAAACAGGGAAUUAUAGACAAGUCAGCCUGACAUCGGUAGUGGGGAAGAUGCUGGAGUCGAUUAUUAUAGAUGUUAUAGUUGUGCCUUGGGAUAGCAGUGACAGGAUCGGUCAAAGUCAGCAUAGAUUUAUGAAGGGGAAAUUAUGCUUGACUAAUCUUCUGGAAUAUUUUGGGGAUGUAACAAGUAGAAUGGAUGAGGGAGAGCCAGUGGAUGAGGUGUAGCUGGACUUUCAAAAAGCCAUUGACAAGGUCCCACACAAGAGAUUAGUGGGCAAAAUUAGAGCACAUGUUAUUGGGGGUAGGGUAUUGACAAGGUUGUCAAACCGGAAGCAACGAGUAGGAAUUAACGGGACCUUUUCAGAAUGGCAGGCAGUGACUUGUGGGGUGCAGCAAGGCUCAGUGCUGGGACCCCAGUAAUUUACAAUUAUGUGGAUAAAUGUGAGGUUAUCCACUUUGGUGGCAAGAACAAGAAGGCAGAUUAUUAUCUUAUCUUAUUAUAAUUCUGUAACCAAGACCUAGUUGGUUUCGUAUUCAAGUCUUUCUGUCUCUCUGAAGGCACAAUUCUGUAAUUAAGGCUUAGUUUUACUGUUGAUCAAGUUUCUGUAUAUUGUUGCCAGCUGAGAAUGUAAAAGCUGUGCCGCUGUGCUCAGGAGAUCAGCUUUGACUGGACUCCUAGUGCUCACAAUUUCUAAUAAAUCGCUGGUUACUUUGAACACCAACUCCGCAUGGCCUUCCCAUUUGUUCCUACACCGUGGCUUCUUUAGCACUCGGUCGACUUGUGUUGCCCCUUUCAGAGAGCUGUGGACAUGGACUUCAUGAUCCUUCUACACAUGAUCCCUCUAUAAUGCUGUUAUGGUUCAUGGCAUCAACUAUAUAUUUUCCCCAUACAUACUGUAUUACCUCCCUACAUCCGUCAGCUCACACACAAACUCUCUGACCAAAACCUCUAAAUGGUAGCUCGCCAUGUAGAUCCACACAAUGCUGGCUCUCAUCACAAGGAACUAAAGAGAUUUCAUAAACACUUUGACUCCCCUUCCCAUUCCCACACUGACCUUUCUGUCCUGGGAUAGACACAAAAAGCUGGAGUAACUCAGCAGGACAGGCAGCAUCUCUGCAGAGAAAGGAUGGGUGACGUUUUGGGUCGGGACCAAUCUGAAGGUUUAGGUGAUAUUUAAUAGGAACUGAGGGGUAACCUUUUCACACAAAGGGUGGUGGGUGUAUGGAACAAGCUGCCAGAGGAAGUAGUUGAGCCGGGAACUAUCCCAACAUUUAAGAAACAGUUAGACGGGUACAUAGAUAGGACAGGUUUGGAGGGAUAUAGGCCAGGUAGGACUAGUGUAGCUGGGACAUGUUGGGCGGUGUGGGCAAGUUGGGAUGAAGGGCCUGUUUCAAUGCUGUAUCAAUCUUUGACUCUGUCACUAUAUAUAGUGAAAAGCUUUUGUUUGUGUGCUAUUCAAACAAAGAAAAUAUUCUACAUUAAUGCAGUCAGGCCACCCACAGUGCAGAGUAUACAGUAAACAACACCCAUUCCAGAAUCCUAUUGUGCUUUAUACCAACAUUCUUACUGAUGGAAAUUAGCUUUCAUUUAUUGAACACUAUUUAAAAACUCUUUGCUUUAAUGUUACCCCUGGCUAUUCAUGCAAAUUCCUUCAGUCUCAAAAAUGACCAAGGCAGCCUAUAGUCAACCUCUCUCCCCCUUCUCACUCUCCUCCGUCUCCACCCGCGGGAAUGUCCCACAGUCACUGACCAUGAUGCACCACCAUCGGACCCCAACC
Long non-coding RNA from Leucoraja erinaceus (little skate), 3517 nucleotides. RefSeq lists it as uncharacterized. The record is from RefSeq and is a predicted model, not a curated record. The transcript is spliced from 3 exons. NCBI's taxonomy places the organism in Eukaryota, Metazoa, Chordata, Chondrichthyes, Rajiformes, Rajidae.